UGCCAGCCGCCGCGGUAAUACGGAGGGGGCAAGCGUUGUUCGGAAUUACUGGGCGUAAAGGGCGUGUAGGCGGCGAUGUUAGUCAGGCGUGAAAGCCCCGGGCUCAACCUGGGAAUUGCGUUUGAUACUGCAUUGCUUGAGUCCGGGAGAGGUGAGCGGAAUUCCCAGUGUAGAGGUGAAAUUCGUAGAUAUUGGGAAGAACACCGGUGGCGAAGGCGGCUCACUGGACCGGUACUGACGCUGAGGCGCGAAAGCGUGGGGAGCAAACAGGAUUAGAUA
RNAcentral lists this ribosomal RNA (279 nucleotides) under uncultured bacterium. RNAcentral's name for it is "partial 16S ribosomal RNA". It matches the Rfam family "Bacterial small subunit ribosomal RNA", at positions 506 to 784 of the family's 1533-position model. The record is from RNAcentral.